UAAGUUUGUUCUUGGUAUAAGCUUUUGUGUGCAUGCCUUGUAUCUGAAGAAGUGUGCAUGCACACGAAAGCUUAUACCAAGGACAAACUUA
Podarcis lilfordi (Lilford's wall lizard) is the source of this 91-nucleotide non-coding RNA. The record is from the annotation of a GenBank genome assembly. NCBI's taxonomy places the organism in Eukaryota, Metazoa, Chordata, Lepidosauria, Squamata, Lacertidae.